Tachyglossus aculeatus (Australian echidna) is the source of this 138-nucleotide small nucleolar RNA. Lineage: Eukaryota; Metazoa; Chordata; Mammalia; Monotremata; Tachyglossidae. The record is from RefSeq and is a predicted model, not a curated record.
CCCUUCUCAGGAUUGCACAUGGAGAGUUUCCAAUACUCUCCCAGUCUCCACUACAGGACGGAGGGUCAAGCAGAGGCAUACUCAUUCCAUUCCCAGCUUGGGCAGUGGCUAGUGAGUGGAAGGCAAUCUGCAACAAGU